GGUUCCAUAGCUCAGUUGGUAGAGCAUUGCACAAGUAACGCGGAGGUCAUGGGUUCAAAUCCCGUUGAAGCCA
RNAcentral lists this transfer RNA (73 nucleotides) under Desmophyllum pertusum. RNAcentral's name for it is "Lophelia pertusa tRNA". It matches the Rfam family "tRNA". Rfam says of the family: Transfer RNA (tRNA) molecules are approximately 80 nucleotides in length. Their secondary structure includes four short double-helical elements and three loops (D, anti-codon, and T loops). Lineage: Eukaryota; Metazoa; Cnidaria; Anthozoa; Scleractinia; Caryophylliidae. The record is from Rfam by way of RNAcentral.